CGAUACGAGUCAGCUUAGUCUUGACGUCAAGGAUGCUGAGACGCAGAGCUUGUCGUAUAAGAUGAAGAAAAUUGAUUGGCGACGUGAACAUAAUGAAACUAAUAAUUACGGCCACACGUGAAAAAGUCGGAAGAAUUGGGUCUCUAUAUUGUUCGACAACUCGGAUCUCAGGAUCAUAGCUGCCGAAACGACGGUAACGAUGAAAUAAAGAAGAUGCGUGUCAAGACAUCCGUACGACGGAACGGUACCUACGGUUCACCGGAGCACGGUAAAAAGGGCAGACAUACGUGGCGCAAUAAUUAAGACGGAUAUAUGCAGUGACGAUGGUCGCGUUUCGUUAGUCGGCUUAUAUUAAGAAUAUUUACAUCCGAAAUUAGAACGAAGGGCAAGAGUUGUGAAGGUAAGUACCAAAGUAUGGUUAUCCCGUAUCGGUGUGUGACGUGCGUGUUGGCGGUAA
This is a long non-coding RNA of Neodiprion fabricii, 457 nucleotides long. RefSeq lists it as uncharacterized. The transcript has 2 exons. NCBI's taxonomy places the organism in Eukaryota, Metazoa, Arthropoda, Insecta, Hymenoptera, Diprionidae. The record is from RefSeq and is a predicted model, not a curated record.